GUGUUCAGUUUAGCAGUACAUAUACAAAUUUAGAAUGAUACAGAGAAUAUUAGCAUGGUCCCUAUGCAAGGAUGACAUGCAAAUUUGUGAAGUAUUUCAUAUUAAA
Small nuclear RNA from Suricata suricatta (meerkat), 106 nucleotides. The record is from Ensembl. Lineage: Eukaryota; Metazoa; Chordata; Mammalia; Carnivora; Herpestidae.